Paramuricea clavata is the source of this 563-nucleotide non-coding RNA. NCBI's taxonomy places the organism in Eukaryota, Metazoa, Cnidaria, Anthozoa, Malacalcyonacea, Plexauridae. The record is from the annotation of a GenBank genome assembly.
GCGACAUUGCUUAGAAACUGGGUUUGGUCCCUUUGCUAAUUUCUAAAUUGCGACACUGCUUAGCAACUGGGUUUAGUCACUUUGCUAAUUUCUAAAUGACGAGAUAGCUUAGCAAUUCGAUUUGGUCCCUUUGCUAAUUUCUAAAUGGCGGCAUCACUCAGCAAUUGGGCUUGGUCCCUUUGCUAAUGUCUAAAUGGCGACAUUGCUUAGCAACUGGGUUUGGUCCUUUUGCUAAUUUCUGAAUGGCGACAUAGCUUAGCAACUGGGUUUGGUCCCCUUGCUAAUUUCUAAAUGGCGACAUAGUUUAGCAACUGAUUUUGGUCCAUUUGCUAAUUUCUAAAGGGCGACAUUGCUUAGCAACUGGGUUUAGUCCCUUUGCUAAUUUCUAAAUGGCGAUAUAGCUUACUGCAACUGGUUCUGGCCCCUUUGCUAAUUUCGGAAUGGCGACAUUGCUUAGCAACUGGGUCUGGUCCCUUUGCUAAUUUCUAAAUGGCGACAUUGCUUAGCAACUGGGUCUGAUCUCUUUGCUAAUUUCUGAAUGAUGACAUAGCUUAGCAACUGGG